This 406-nucleotide ribosomal RNA is filed under the name uncultured bacterium. Its description in RNAcentral is "partial 16S ribosomal RNA". It matches the Rfam family "Bacterial small subunit ribosomal RNA", at positions 30 to 526 of the family's 1533-position model. The record is from RNAcentral.
AUUGAACGCUGGCGGCAGGCCUAACACAUGCAAGUCGAACGAGUGGCGGACGGGUGAGUAAUGUAUGGGAAACUGCCUGAUGGAGGGGGAUAACUACUGGAAACGGUAGCUAAUACCGCAUAACCUCAGAUGUGCCCAGAUGGGAUUAGCUAGUUGGUGGGGUAACGGCUCACCAAGGCGACGAUCCCUAGCUGUUCUGAGAGGAUGACCAGCACCUCUGGAACCGAGACACGGUCCAGAUUCCUACGGGAGGAAUCAUUGGCGAAUGUUGCACAAUGGGCGCAAGCCUGAUGCAGCCAUGCCGCGUGUAUGAAGUAGGCCUUCGGGUUGUAAAGUACUUUCAGCGGGGAGGCGUUACCCGCAGAAGAAGCACCGGCUAACUCCGUGCCAGCAGCCGCGGUAAUUC